This 477-nucleotide ribosomal RNA is filed under the name uncultured bacterium. Its description in RNAcentral is "partial 16S ribosomal RNA". It matches the Rfam family "Bacterial small subunit ribosomal RNA", at positions 28 to 507 of the family's 1533-position model. The record is from RNAcentral.
GAUUAACGCUGGCGGCGUGCAUAACACAUGCAAGUCGAACGAUGAAACUUAAAUGAUUUCUUCGGAAUGAACUUAAGUGGAUUAGUGGCGGACGGGUGAGUAACGCGUGAGUAACCUGCCUUACACAAGGGGAUAGCCGUUGGAAACGACGAAUAAUACCCUAUGAUGUUUCUAUCUCGCAUGAGAUAUUAACCAAAGUGUUAGCGGUGUAAGAUGGACUUGCGUCUGAUUAGCUAGUUGGUGAGAAAAAAGCCCACCAAGGCAACGAUCAGUAGCCGGCUUGAGAGAGUGUACGGCCACAUUGGGACUGAGACACGGCCCAGACUCCUACGGGAGGCAGCAGUGGGGAAUUUUGCACAAUGGGGGAAACCCUGAUGCAGCGACGCCGCGUGAUUUAGAAGGCCUUCGGGUUGUAAAAAUCUUUUGUAUAGGAAGAAAAUGACAGUACUAUACGAAUAAGGUCCGGCUAAGUACGUG